This 468-nucleotide ribosomal RNA is filed under the name uncultured bacterium. Its description in RNAcentral is "partial 16S ribosomal RNA". It matches the Rfam family "Bacterial small subunit ribosomal RNA", at positions 28 to 507 of the family's 1533-position model. The record is from RNAcentral.
GACGAACGCUGGCGGCGUGCUUAACACAUGCAAGUCGAACGGAAAGGCCCUGCUUUUGUUGGGUGCUCGAGUGGCGAACGGGUGAGUAACACGUGAGUAACCUGCCCUUGACUUUGGGAUAACUUCAGGAAACUGGGGCUAAUAUCGGAUAGGAUCUCCUGCUGCAUGGUGGGGGUUGGAAAGUUUCGGCGGUUGGGGCUGGACUCGCGGCUUAUCAGCGUGUUGGUGGGGUAGUGGCUUACCAAGGCUUUGACGGGUAGCCGGCCUGAGAGGGUGACCGGCCACAUUGGGACUGAGAUACGGCCCAGACUCCUACGGGAGGCAGCAGUGGGGAAUAUUGCAAAAUGGGCGGAAGCCGGAUGCAGCAACGCCGCGUGCGGGAUGACGGCCUUCGGGUUGUAAACCGCUUUCGCCUGUGACGAAGCGUGAGUGACGGUAAUGGGUAAAGAAGCACCGGCUAACUACGUG